This 1692-nucleotide long non-coding RNA is filed under the name Capsicum annuum. Its description in RNAcentral is "long non-coding RNA (CANN_LNC014518)". Lineage: Eukaryota; Viridiplantae; Streptophyta; Magnoliopsida; Solanales; Solanaceae. The record is from RNAcentral.
UCCCUCUCUUACAUUCGUCGCUGUCUUUCCGGCCAGCGAGCCCCCUCCGAUAUCCCUCCCCGUCGCCGCUGUCACCAGCGAAGACAACAACAUUGCCUCCCUUCUCGUCUUCGCUUCGCGAACGCCGCCGCAAAGCCUCCACCACCAUCGAUGGCCAUGCAACCUGCAACCCCAACGAACCAUCCAUCAGAGAAGACAGCGCCGCCACCUCCUUUCUCUCCCCGUGCCACUAACAACGACAACAACGUCAUCACCAACGAACAGCGCAACCUCCGUCACUAACGGAACCAGCGGGCCAGCAUCGCGAAUCCACCAGGCGCGUCACCGCCUCCCGCUCCAGCGUCGCCGCUGCCACUUCUAUCUCGCUGACGCUCUUUCUUUACUCCCCAUACAGCUAUUGCUGACUCCAUUCCUCUUUUCCUCCGACUAUGUUUGAUCGAUAGACACCAUCACAGGUUUCGUCCAUGAUUGAUUUUAUAUUAGUCUUUGUUUAAUCUUACUUUUCGUGAUCUGAAAUUGACUAAACUUGACAGACAUUAUUGAUUUUGAUAUUGAUUUCUAUGAGUCGGUAUUAAUGAUAUGUUAUACUCUCACAUACAUGAAAUUAGUGAUACUUGACUAGGCUACUGGUGGUUCUUCUAACUCUUGAAAUCAUUAUUCGUGCUUACAAAUUGUAGUCUGUUUGAUUUGUUUGACAUUUUUGCUGCACAUUUACUGUUUGCAAAAAUUUUAUUUUUGACUGAAGAUUAUGAAACUGACUGACCCCGUGAUUUGGGUGAUUUGAUGAUUUGAGUUGAUUGAAUGCAAUAAUUAAUGUUAGUAAUAUUCUUAUAUGAUUAGUUGAGUUUUUAUUUUAUUUUUAUUCUUUUACAGUAGCAUCAGACAUAUUUCAUACGUUAUUUGUGGUAAGUAUAAAUUCGUGUGUCCGAUUGAAAUAUAUUUGAUUUUUUUAACGGAUGUUUUCCUUCUAUUUGCUUUGACUGAAUUUGAUAUUAUAAGUGUGAUUCUAUAUUUAUGAAAACCCCCUAUUGAUUGGCUUCAUUCAAAUACUCUCCUCUUCCUCAAUUGUUUCUGGCUGAUUUUUUGAAUAUUUUUUUCCUUUUCUGUUGAUACUAAUUAACGCUCAUAUAUUUUCUUUCCUUUCAAACCACACUCCUCCUUUGCUAUAUAAAUAACUCCUCCUUUCAAUUAACGAACAGUUUUGACAUUAUAAUUACUACUACUCUCUUAAAAAUAUUAGUUACUUUUAACAAAAACAAUUAAAUAUUGUGAGGCGCUUUUGGUUAUCUUUGGAGGUUGUUGAAAACGUUUUGCAUAUUUCACCAUUAUACAAGUAUCUGGCUUUCAUUAUUCUUACUACUUCUCUUACUGUUGUUCACUAGUAAGUCCCUAUCAAUGCAAUUAUUUUAUUCUGUGUGUGUGCUGAUUGCAUAAUGUUAUUGAAGCCUUUAGGAACAUGCCUAUAGGAGCAUCUCGAUGUUCGUUCUUGUUUGUUUGCUAUUAUGUAUUAUUUCGCAGGCCUAAAUAGACGCAAGUUUCCAAGAGUCGUCGGGACAGUUAAUUAACUAUGUAUUCUUGAUAGUUAGUUAUUUUUUCUUAUUUUUCGCAUCAUUUGGCUUGUAAUAUUAUUUGUAAAAACAUUAUUCAUUAUUCUUGUAAUAAUAGAAUCUGGGGACUGCUUUGGGGGGCGGG